GUCCUGGUGGUUCAAUGGUAGAAUCCUCACCUUCCAUGUGGGAGAUCUGGGUUUGAUUCCUGGUCAAUGCA
RNAcentral lists this transfer RNA (71 nucleotides) under Loxodonta africana (African savanna elephant). It matches the Rfam family "tRNA". From Rfam's summary of the family: Transfer RNA (tRNA) molecules are approximately 80 nucleotides in length. Their secondary structure includes four short double-helical elements and three loops (D, anti-codon, and T loops). Further hydrogen bonds mediate the characteristic L-shaped molecular structure. tRNAs have two regions of fundamental functional importance: the anti-codon, which is responsible for specific mRNA codon recognition, and the 3' end, to which the tRNAs corresponding amino acid is attached (by aminoacyl-tRNA synthetases). tRNAs cope with the degeneracy of the genetic code in two manners: having more than one tRNA (with a specific anti-codon) for a particular amino acid; and 'wobble' base-pairing, i.e. permitting non-standard base-pairing at the 3rd anti-codon position. Lineage: Eukaryota; Metazoa; Chordata; Mammalia; Proboscidea; Elephantidae. The record is from Rfam by way of RNAcentral.